GAAAUAAGGAAACCAGGAAUAAGCUUCUAACUUAAUUCUUAAGCAAUGAAAUUUUGUUUUUAUUUCU
RNAcentral lists this transfer RNA (67 nucleotides) under Aristobrotica sp. REN-2018. RNAcentral's name for it is "tRNA-Ser". The record is from RNAcentral. Lineage: Eukaryota; Metazoa; Arthropoda; Insecta; Coleoptera; Chrysomelidae.